CUGGAAAGGCGCGCGAUACAGGGUGACAGCCCCGUACACAAAAAUGCACAUGCUGUGAGCUCGAUGAGUAGGGCGGGACACGUGGUAUCCUGUCUGAAUAUGGGGGGACCAUCCUCCAAGGCUAAAUACUCCUGACUGACCGAUAGUGAACCAGUACCGUGAGGGAAAGGCGAAAAGAACCCCGGCGAGGGGAGUGAAAAAGAACCUGAAACCGUGUACGUACAAGCAGUGGGAGCACGCUUAGGCGUGUGACUGCGUACCUUUUGUAUAAUGGGUCAGCGACUUAUAUUCUGUAGCAAGGUUAACCGAAUAGGGGAGCCGAAGGGAAACCGAGUCUUAACUGGGCGUUAAGUUGCAGGGUAUAGACCCGAAACCCGGUGAUCUAGCCAUGGGCAGGUUGAAGGUUGGGUAACACUAACUGGAGGACCGAACCGACUAAUGUUGAAAAAUUAGCGGAUGACUUGUGGCUGGGGGUGAAAGGCCAAUCAAACCGGGAGAUAGCUGGUUCUCCCCGAAAGCUAUUUAGGUAGCGCCUCGUGAAUUCAUCUCCGGGGGUAGAGCACUGUUUCGGCAAGGGGGUCAUCCCGACUUACCAACCCGAUGCAAACUGCGAAUACCGGAGAAUGUUAUCACGGGAGACACACGGCGGGUGCUAACGUCCGUCGUGAAGAGGGAAACAACCCAGACCGCCAGCUAAGGUCCCAAAGUCAUGGUUAAGUGGGAAACGAUGUGGGAAGGCCCAGACAGCCAGGAUGUUGGCUUAGAAGCAGCCAUCAUUUAAAGAAAGCGUAAUAGCUCACUGGUCGAGUCGGCCUGCGCGGAAGAUGUAACGGGGCUAAACCAUGCACCGAAGCUGCGGCAGCGACGCUGAUGCGUUGUUGGGUAGGGGAGCGUUCUGUAAGCCUGCGAAGGUGUGCUGUGAGGCAUGCUGGAGGUAUCAGAAGUGCGAAUGCUGACAUAAGUAACGAUAAAGCGGGUGAAAAGCCCGCUCGCCGGAAGACCAAGGGUUCCUGUCCAACGUUAAUCGGGGCAGGGUGAGUCGACCCCUAAGGCGAGGCCGAAAGGCGUAGUCGAUGGGAAACAGGUUAAUAUUCCUGUACUUGGUGUUACUGCGAAGGGGGGACGGAGAAGGCUAUGUUGGCCGGGCGACGGUUGUCCCGGUUUAAGCGUGUAGGCUGGUUUUCCAGGCAAAUCCGGAAAAUCAAGGCUGAGGCGUGAUGACGAGGCACUACGGUGCUGAAGCAACAAAUGCCCUGCUUCCAGGAAAAGCCUCUAAGCAUCAGGUAACAUCAAAUCGUACCCCAAACCGACACAGGUGGUCAGGUAGAGAAUACCAAGGCGCUUGAGAGAACUCGGGUGAAGGAACUAGGCAAAAUGGUGCCGUAACUUCGGGAGAA
RNAcentral lists this ribosomal RNA (1397 nucleotides) under Escherichia coli. Its description in RNAcentral is "partial 23S ribosomal RNA". It matches the Rfam family "Bacterial large subunit ribosomal RNA", at positions 342 to 1744 of the family's 2925-position model. Lineage: Bacteria; Pseudomonadati; Pseudomonadota; Gammaproteobacteria; Enterobacterales; Enterobacteriaceae. The record is from RNAcentral. RNAcentral also lists the same sequence under 1 other name.